RNAcentral lists this ribosomal RNA (920 nucleotides) under uncultured Campylobacterota bacterium. Its description in RNAcentral is "bacterial SSU rRNA". It matches the Rfam family "Bacterial small subunit ribosomal RNA", at positions 52 to 984 of the family's 1533-position model. The record is from RNAcentral. Lineage: Bacteria; Pseudomonadati; Campylobacterota.
AACAUGCAGUCGAGCGAUGAAGCUUCUAGCUUGCUAGAAGUGGAUUAGUGGNGNACGGGUGAGGAAUAUAUAGCUAAUGUGCCCCUUAGAGGGGGAUAACAGUUGGAAACGACUGCUAAUACCCCAUACUCCUUCUUGUUAUAAGACAAGUCGGGAAAGUUUUUUCNCUAAGGGAUCGGGCUAUACGGUAUCAGCUUGUUGGUGAGGUAAUGGCUCACCAAGGCUAUGACGCCUAUCUGGUCUGAGAGGAUGAUCAGACACACUGGAACUGAGACACGGUCCAGACUCCUACGGGAGGCAGCAGUGGGGAAUAUUGCACAAUGGAGGAAACUCUGAUGCAGCAACGCCGCGUGGAGGAUGACACAUUUCGGUGCGUAAACUCCUUUUAUGUGAGAAGAUAAUGACGGUAUCACAUGAAUAAGCACCGGCUAACUCCGUGCCAGCAGCCGCGGUAAUACGGAGGGUGCAAGCGUUACUCGGAAUCACUGGGCGUAAAGCGCGCGCAGGCGGCCUUUCAAGUUGGAUGUGAAAUCCUAUGGCUCAACCAUAGAACUGCAUCCAAAACUGUUAGGCUAGAGUCUGGGAGGGGAAGAUGGAAUUAGUUGUGUAGGGGUAAAAUCCGUAGAGAUAACUAGGAAUACCAAAAGCGAAGGCGAUCUUCUGGAACAGUACUGACGCUGAGGCGCGAAAGCGUGGGGAGCAAACAGGAUUAGAUACCCUGGUAGUCCACGCCCUAAACGAUGAAUGUUAGUCGUCGGGGAGCUAGUCUCUUCGGUGAUGCAGCUAACGCAUUAAACAUUCCGCCUGGGGAGUACGGUCGCAAGAUUAAAACUCAAAGGAAUAGACGGGGGACCCGCACAAGUGGUGGAACCAUGUGGGUUUUAAUUCGAAGAUACGCGAAGAACCUUACCUAGCCUUGA